UGCAUAAUGGGUUGACCAUAUCCACCACAUAUAACAUUCCACGAACGAGGGCGAGCUAAGUAGUUGAACGGUGCUAGACAUUUAUGUGGUGUGUAGCAAUACACCAUUUAUAUCCUUACUUAGGGGUGAUAGGCCUGCCAAGCUCUCAGAUAUCUUGAACUGUUGGAAAAAUAUUUAGUAUAGUGACAACCUGAGAGCGCUGAGACUCUUAGGGGGCAUAAGCUCAAGGGUGUUACUGGAUGCUCUACAUAAGAGUAGGUAGCUGUUUAAUCUAACCACUUAUACUUUACUGUCUGUGUUUUAUACUUCACAUAGUGUUUUAUUUAAUUUAAUACGAUUUUAUUGUUUACAUUAGUAUUAAGUUAAUUCGUUUUAAGGAACUCGGCAAAUAGUCUGCUCAACUGUUUAACAAAAACAUAACUAGGUGUAUUAUAUACCUAGCUUUUUCUGCUCAAUGAGAAUUUUUAAUAGCCGCAGUACCCUGACUGUGCAAAGGUAGCAUAAUCAGUUGGCUCAUAAUUGGAGUCUUGUAUGAACGAUCGCAUGGGUGGAACCUGUCUCUAAGCGAUUAACAGAACUUUUUAAGUAAGUGAAAAUACUUACUGGUGUUUUAAAAGACGAGAAGACCCUAGAAAUUUUUCACUAAGGGUGUACAGUAGCGUUUUGGUGUUUUGCUGGGGCGGCAGAGUAACAUUUAAGUAACUUACUCUACAUAUUAAACUUUUAUUUACAGACAAGGCAUAAUUACUCUAGGGAUAACAGCGUAAUUCUUUUAGUGUUUGCGACCUCGAUGUUGGACUAGGGAAGAGAGCACCCAGAAGGUGCUCUUGUACGUUCUGUUCGAACGGCUUCUCCUACAUGA
RNAcentral lists this ribosomal RNA (862 nucleotides) under Pleurodonte sp. ANSP 451132. RNAcentral describes it as "partial 16S ribosomal RNA". Lineage: Eukaryota; Metazoa; Mollusca; Gastropoda; Stylommatophora; Pleurodontidae. The record is from RNAcentral.